RNAcentral lists this ribosomal RNA (475 nucleotides) under uncultured bacterium. RNAcentral describes it as "bacterial SSU rRNA". It matches the Rfam family "Bacterial small subunit ribosomal RNA", at positions 15 to 518 of the family's 1533-position model. The record is from RNAcentral.
GAUCUGGUUCAGGAUGAACGCUGGCGGCGUGCCUAACACAUGCAAGUCGAGCGAUUACUUAGGUAAAGAGCGGCGGACGGGUGAGUAACGCGUGGGUAACCUGCCUCAUACACAUGGAUAACAUACCGAAAGGUAUGCUAAUACAGGAUAAUAUAAGAGAUUCACAUGGAUUUUUUAUCAAAGCUCCGGCGGUAUGAGAUGGACCCGCGUCUGAUUAGCUAGUUGGUAAGGUAAUGGCUUACCAAGGCGACGAUCAGUAGCCGACCUGAGAGGGUGAUCGGCCACAUUGGAACUGAGACACGGUCCAAACUCCUACGGGAGGCAGCAGUGGGGAAUAUUGCACAAUGGGCGAAAGCCUGAUGCAAGCAACGCCGCGUGAGUGAUGAAGGCCUUCGGGUCGUAAAACUCUGUCCUCAAGGAAGAUAAUGACGGUACUUGAGGAGGAAGCCCCGGCUAACUACGUGCCAGCAGCAGC